GGUGGGGUACCGAAGCGGUCAAACGGGACAGACUGUAAAUCUGUUGGCGCACGCCUUCGGAGGUUCGAAUCCUCCCCCCACCA
This 83-nucleotide transfer RNA is filed under the name Longimicrobiales bacterium. RNAcentral's name for it is "tRNA-Tyr". It matches the Rfam family "tRNA". From Rfam's summary of the family: Transfer RNA (tRNA) molecules are approximately 80 nucleotides in length. Their secondary structure includes four short double-helical elements and three loops (D, anti-codon, and T loops). The record is from RNAcentral. RNAcentral also lists the same sequence under 1 other name. Lineage: Bacteria; Pseudomonadati; Gemmatimonadota; Longimicrobiia; Longimicrobiales.